Molecule: long non-coding RNA, 430 nt
Filed under: Olea europaea (common olive)
Lineage: Eukaryota; Viridiplantae; Streptophyta; Magnoliopsida; Lamiales; Oleaceae
Description: long non-coding RNA (OEUR_LNC002769)
Source: RNAcentral
UCAAAAAAAGAUGAUCUCUCGUCCUGUGCUUGCUGUUCUUCUUUGAAAGAGGAAUUGACAAUGAUUUCUUAUUCUGUGCUUUUGUGCUUGCUGAUUGUUUUGGUUUUCUGUGUAGAUAUGGUUUCUUUAUAUCCCCAACAACAAUAGAUGUUAAGAUAGAGUUUGUGAUUAUGAAGAGUCAAUGCAUGAAGAUGACUCACGAACUACUUGAAUUCCGAAACAAGCAGAUUCGAACAAGAAUUCUUCAAAUUCAUUUGGAUAAAACUUCACACCUGUUAAAAGUGGUUCAGCCUUCAAGUUUGGCAGCAGCUGGGGCAAGUUGGGCUUCCAUAUUUAUGUGUCGCGUCUUGGCCUAUAGGCCUAACAGAAGACUUUAAUGAGCAGUACAACUUGAUACCAAUAUAUUGAAGGGCUGAUCAUGUGUUUUUGG